RNAcentral lists this ribosomal RNA (463 nucleotides) under uncultured bacterium. Its description in RNAcentral is "partial 16S ribosomal RNA". It matches the Rfam family "Bacterial small subunit ribosomal RNA", at positions 28 to 507 of the family's 1533-position model. The record is from RNAcentral.
GACGAACGCUGGCGGCGUGCUUAACACAUGCAAGUCGAGCGGAAAGGCCCUUCGGGGUACUCGAGCUGCGAACGGGUGCGUAACACGUGAGUAAUCUGCCCUUGGCUUUGGGAUAACUACCGGAAACGGUGGCUAAUACCGGAUACGACAACCGUCUGCAUGGGCUGGUUGUGGAAAGUUUUUUCGGCCAGGGAUGUGCUCGCGGCCUAUCAGCUUGUUGGUGGGGUAAUGGCCUACCAAGGCUUCGACGGGUAGCCGGCCGGAGAGGGUGACCGGCCACAUGGGGACGGGGAUACGGCCCAGACGCGUACGGGAGGCAGCAGUGGGGAAGAGUGCACGAGGGGCGGAAGCGUGAUGCAGCAAAGCCGCGUGGGGGAUGACGGCCGGCGGGUGGUAAAGAGAUUGCGCCGGGGACGAAGCGUGAGUGACGGUAAGGGGUAAAGAAGCAACGGAUAACUACGUG